RNAcentral lists this ribosomal RNA (301 nucleotides) under uncultured bacterium. RNAcentral's name for it is "partial 16S ribosomal RNA". It matches the Rfam family "Bacterial small subunit ribosomal RNA", at positions 509 to 809 of the family's 1533-position model. The record is from RNAcentral.
CAGCCGCCGCGGGAAUACGAAGGGGGCUAGCGUUGCUCGGAAUGACUGGGCGUAAAGGGCGCGUAGGCGGUUCGUACAGUCGGAUGUGAAAUUCCUGGGCUUAACCUGGGGACUGCAUUCGAUACGUGCGGGCUUGAGUGUGGAAGAGGGUUGUGGAAUUCCCAGUGUAGAGGUGAAAUUCGUAGAUAUCGGAAGGAACGCCUGUGGCGAAAGCGGCUCACUGGACAAUAACUGACGCUGAUGCACGAAAGCUAGGGGAGCAAGCAGGAUUAGAUACCCGCGUAGUCCCUGUCUCUUAUAA